RNAcentral lists this ribosomal RNA (393 nucleotides) under uncultured bacterium. RNAcentral describes it as "partial 16S ribosomal RNA". It matches the Rfam family "Bacterial small subunit ribosomal RNA", at positions 523 to 918 of the family's 1533-position model. The record is from RNAcentral.
AUACGGAGGAUCCGAGCGUUAUCCGGAUUUACUGGGUUUAAAGGGAGCGUAGGCGGACUAUUAAGUCAGCUGUGAAAGUUUGCGGCUCAACCGUAAAAUUGCAGUUGAUACUGGUCGUCUUGAGUGCAGUAGAGGUAGGCGGAAUUCGUGGUGUAGCGGUGAAAUGCUUAGAUAUCACGAAGAACUCCGAUUGCGAAGGCAGCUUACUGGACUGUAACUGACGCUGAUGCUCGAAAGUGUGGGUAUCAAACAGGAUUAGAUACCCUGGUAGUCCACACAGUAAACGAUGAAUACUCGAUGUUUGCGAUAUACGGCAAGCGGCCAAGCGAAAGCAUUAAGUAUUCCACCUGGGGAGUACGCCGGCAACGGUGAAACUCAAAGGAAUUGACGGGG